AUCUGGCUAAUACCGAAUGUGGUCUUCUGGCACAUGUCAGGAUGACUAAAGGCGGGGAUUCUUCGGAACCUGCCGCUUGAAGAUGCACCCGCGUGCCAUCAGCUUGUUGGUAGGGUAACGGCCUACCAAGGCUUACGGCUAGCCGGCCUGAGAGGGUGACCGGCCACACUGGGACUGAGACACUGCCCAGACUCCUACGGGAGGCUGCAGUCGAGGAUCAUUCGCAAUGCGCGAAAGCGUGACGAUGCGACGCUGCGUGGGGGAUGAAGGCCUUCGGGUCGUAAACUCCUGUCAUGAGGGAAAAGUAUCCCUGCAAUUAAUAGUUGCGGGGCUCGAUGGUACCUCAAGAGGAAGCCACGGCUAACUCUGUGCCAGCAGCCGCGGUAAUACAGAGGUGGCGAGCGUUGUUCGGAUUUACUGGGCGUAAAGGGUGCGUAGGUGGUUUUGUGUGUCGGAUGUGAAAGCCCAUGGCUCAACCGUGGAAUUGCAUUCGAAACUGCAGGACUAGAGUGCAGGAUGGGAGAGCGGAAUUUUUGGUGUAGCGGUGAAAUGCGUUGAUAUCAAGAAGAACACCGGUGGCGAAGGCGGCUCUCUGGAAUGCUACUGACACUGAGGCACGAAAGCUGGGGGAGCAAACAGGAUUAGAUACCCUGGUAGUCCCAGCCGUAAACGGUGCACACUUGGUGUGGGGAGAUUUAACCCUCUCCGUGCCGGAGCUAACGCGUUAAGUGUGCCGCCUGGGGAGUACGGCCGCAAGGCUAAAACUCAAAGAAAUUGACGGGGGCCCGCACAAGCGGAGGAGCAUGUGGCUUAAUUCGAUGCAACGCGAAGAACCUUACCAGGGCUUGACAUAUACCUGCAAACCCCGUGAAAGCGGGGAAUCCUUCGAGGGUGGUAUACAGGUGCUGCAUGGCUGUCGUCAGUUCGUGCCGUGAGGUGUUGGGUUAAGUCCCGUAACGAACGCAACCCUUGUGACUAGUUGCCACCGGCGGUGAUGAGCCGUCGAGCACUCUAGUCAGACUGCCCGUACAAGCGGGAGGAAGGUGGGGAUGACGUCAAGUCAGUAUGGCCCUUACGCCCUGGGCUGCACACGUGCUACAAUGGUCGGUACAAUGGGAUGCAAUACCGCGAGGUGGAGCCAAUCCUGAAAGCCGGCCCCAGUUCGGAUUGAAGUCUGCAACUCGGCUUCAUGAAGUCGGAUCGCUAGUAACGGCGCAUCAGCUACGGCGCCGUGAAUACGUUCCCGGGCCUUGUACACACCGCCCGUCACAUCAUGAAAGCCGUCUGCACCCGAAGUCGCUAGCCUAACCUGCAAAGGAUGGAGGCGCCGAAGGUGU
RNAcentral lists this ribosomal RNA (1337 nucleotides) under metagenome. RNAcentral describes it as "bacterial SSU rRNA". It matches the Rfam family "Bacterial small subunit ribosomal RNA", at positions 157 to 1465 of the family's 1533-position model. The record is from RNAcentral.